CCUACGGGAGGCAGCAGUGGGGAAUAUUGCACAAUGGAGGAAACUCUGAUGCAGCGACGCCGCGUGAGUGAAGAAGUAUUUCGGUAUGUAAAGCUCUAUCAGCAGGGAAGAAAAUGACGGUACCUGACUAAGAAGCACCGGCUAAAUACGUGCCAGCAGCCGCGGUAAUACGUAUGGUGCAAGCGUUAUCCGGAUUUACUGGGUGUAAAGGGAGCGUAGGUGGCAAGGCAAGCCAGAAGUGAAAACCCGGGGCUCAACCGCGGGAUUGCUUUUGGAACUGUCAUGCUAGAGUGCAGGAGGGGUGAGCGGAAUUCCUAGUGUAGCGGUGAAAUGCGUAGAUAUUAGGAGGAACACCGGAGGCGAAGGCGGCUCACUGGACUGUAACUGACACUGAGGCUCGAAAGCGUGGGGAGCAAACAGGAUUAGAUACCCCAGUAGU
RNAcentral lists this ribosomal RNA (439 nucleotides) under uncultured Tidjanibacter sp. RNAcentral describes it as "bacterial SSU rRNA". It matches the Rfam family "Bacterial small subunit ribosomal RNA", at positions 338 to 794 of the family's 1533-position model. The record is from RNAcentral. Lineage: Bacteria; Pseudomonadati; Bacteroidota; Bacteroidia; Bacteroidales; Rikenellaceae.